CGAGCGGCGGACGGGUGAGUAAUGCCUAGGGAUCUGCCCAGUCGAGGGGGAUAACAGUUGGAAACGACUGCUAAUACCGCAUACGCCCUACGGGGGAAAGAGGGGGACUUUCGGGCCUCUCGCGAUUGGAUGAACCUAGGUGGGAUUAGCUAGUUGGUGAGGUAAUGGCUCACCAAGGCGACGAUCCCUAGCUGUUCUGAGAGGAUGAUCAGCCACACUGGGACUGAGACACGGCCCAGACUCCUACGGGAGGCAGCAGUGGGGAAUAUUGCACAAUGGGGGAAACCCUGAUGCAGCCAUGCCGCGUGUGUGAAGAAGGCCUUCGGGUUGUAAAGCACUUUCAGUAGGGAGGAAAGGUUGUAAGUUAAUACCUUGCAGCUGUGACGUUACCUACAGAAGAAGGACCGGCUAACUCCGUGCCAGCAGCC
RNAcentral lists this ribosomal RNA (428 nucleotides) under bacterium 2611-S4-01B-2.1. RNAcentral describes it as "bacterial SSU rRNA". It matches the Rfam family "Bacterial small subunit ribosomal RNA", at positions 92 to 516 of the family's 1533-position model. The record is from RNAcentral.